AUCCUGGCUCAGAUUGAACGCUGGCGGCAGGCCUAACACAUGCAAGUCGAGCGGUAGAGAGAAGCUUGCUUCUCUUGAGAGCGGCGGACGGGUGAGUAAUGCCUAGGAAUCUGCUUGGUAGUGGGGGAUAACGUUCGGAAACGGACGCUAAUACCGCAUACGUCCUACGGGAGAAAGCAGGGGACCUUCGGGCCUUGCGCUAUCAGAUGAGCCUAGGUCGGAUUAGCUAGUUGGUGAGGUAAUGGCUCACCAAGGCGACGAUCCGUAACUGGUCUGAGAGGAUGAUCAGUCACACUGGAACUGAGACACGGUCCAGACUCCUACGGGAGGCAGCAGUGGGGAAUAUUGGACAAUGGGCGAAAGCCUGAUCCAGCCAUGCCGCGUGUGUGAAGAAGGUCUUCGGAUUGUAAAGCACUUUAAGUUGGGAGGAAGGGUUGUAGAUUAAUACUCUGCAAUUUUGACGUUACCGACAGAAUAAGCACCGGCUAACUCUGUGCCAGCAGCCGCGGUAAUACAGAGGGUGCAAGCGUUAAUCGGAAUUACUGGGCGUAAAGCGCGCGUAGGUGGUUUGUUAAGUUGGAUGUGAAAUCCCCGGGCUCAACCUGGGAACUGCAUUCAAAACUGACUGACUAGAGUAUGGUAGAGGGUGGUGGAAUUUCCUGUGUAGCGGUGAAAUGCGUAGAUAUAGGAAGGAACACCAGUGGCGAAGGCGACCACCUGGACUAAUACUGACACUGAGGUGCGAAAGCGUGGGGAGCAAACAGGAUUAGAUACCCUGGUAGUCCACGCCGUAAACGAUGUCAACUAGCCGUUGGAAGCCUUGAGCUUUUAGUGGCGCAGCUAACGCAUUA
This 851-nucleotide ribosomal RNA is filed under the name uncultured Pseudomonas sp. RNAcentral's name for it is "bacterial SSU rRNA". It matches the Rfam family "Bacterial small subunit ribosomal RNA", at positions 16 to 862 of the family's 1533-position model. Lineage: Bacteria; Pseudomonadati; Pseudomonadota; Gammaproteobacteria; Pseudomonadales; Pseudomonadaceae. The record is from RNAcentral.